AUUGAACGCUGGCGGCAUGCUUUACACAUGCAAGUCGAACGGCAGAGCGGGCUUUGGCCUGGCGGCGAGUGGCGAACGGGUGAGUAAUGCAUCGGAACGUGCCCGGUAGUGGGGGAUAGCCCGGCGAAAGCCGGGUUAAUACCGCAUACGACCUGAGGGUGAAAGUGGGGGACCGAAAGGCCUCGCGCUAUCAGAGCGGCCGAGGUCGGAUUAGCUAGUUGGUGGGGUAAAGGCUUACCAAGGCGACGAUCCGUAGCUGGUCUGAGAGGACGACCAGCCACACUGGGACUGAGACACGGCCCAGACUCCUACGGGAGGCAGCAGUGGGGAAUUUUGGACAAUGGGGGCAACCCUGAUCCAGCCAUGCCGCGUGCGGGAAGAAGGCCUUCGGGUUGUAAACCGCUUUUGGUCGGGAAGAAAUCCUCUGGGCUAAUACCCCGGGGGGAUGACGGUACCGGAAGAAUAAGCACCGGCUAACUACGUG
RNAcentral lists this ribosomal RNA (484 nucleotides) under uncultured bacterium. Its description in RNAcentral is "partial 16S ribosomal RNA". It matches the Rfam family "Bacterial small subunit ribosomal RNA", at positions 28 to 507 of the family's 1533-position model. The record is from RNAcentral.